GAUGAACGCUGGCGGCGUGCCUAAUACAUGCAAGUCGAGCGAACGGACGAGAAGCUUGCUUCUCUGAUGUUAGCGGCGGACGGGUGAGUAACACGUGGAUAACCUACCUAUAAGACUGGGAUAACUUCGGGAAACCGGAGCUAAUACCGGAUAAUAUUUUGAACCGCAUGGUUCAAAAGUGAAAGACGGUCUUGCUGUCACUUAUAGAUGGAUCCGCGCUGCAUUAGCUAGUUGGUAAGGUAACGGCUUACCAAGGCAACGAUGCAUAGCCGACCUGAGAGGGGGCACGGCCAAACUGGAACUGAGACACGGUCCACACCCCUACGGGGGGCAGGAGUAGGGAAUUUGCCGCAAGGGGCGAAAGCCUGCCGGAGCAACGCCGGGGGAGUGAAGAAGGUCUUCGGACCGUAAAACUUUUUUAUUAGGGAAGAACAUAUGUGUAAGUAACUGUGCACAUCUUGACGGUACCUAAACAGAAAGCCACGGCUAACUACGU
RNAcentral lists this ribosomal RNA (496 nucleotides) under uncultured bacterium. RNAcentral's name for it is "partial 16S ribosomal RNA". It matches the Rfam family "Bacterial small subunit ribosomal RNA", at positions 28 to 506 of the family's 1533-position model. The record is from RNAcentral.